Molecule: long non-coding RNA, 1745 nt
Organism: Nerophis ophidion (straightnose pipefish)
Lineage: Eukaryota; Metazoa; Chordata; Actinopteri; Syngnathiformes; Syngnathidae
Exons: 2
Source: RefSeq, a predicted model, not a curated record
AUAUUGUGACAGUCCAGUCCAUAGUGGAUCUAACAUAAUAGUGUCAGAGUCCAGUCCAUAGUGGGGCCAGCAGGAGACCAUUUUGAGCGGACACGGGUCAGCAGUGCAAAGAUGUCCCCAACCGAUGCACAGGCGAGCAGUCCACUCCAGGUCCCGAAUCUGGACAGCCAGCACUUCAUCCAUGACCACCGGACCUGUGCCCCCCCUUCCACAAGAGAGAGGGGGGAAGAGGAGAAAAGAAAAGAAACAGCAGAUCAACUGGUCUAAAAAGGGGGUCUAUUUAAAGGCUAGAGUAUACAAAUGAGUUUUAAGAUGGGACUUAUAUAUAUGUAUAUGUGUGUGUGUGUAUAUAUAUAUAUAUAUAUGUGUGUAUAUAUCUAUAUAUAUAUAUGUGUACAGAGGUGGGUAGUAACGCGCUACAUUUACUCCGUUACAUCUACUUGAGUAACUUUUGGGAUAAAUUGUACUUCUAAGAGUAGUUUUUAUGCAACAUACUUUUACUUUUACUUGAGUAUAUUUAUAGAGAAGAAACGCUACUUUUACUCCGCUCCAUUUAUCUGCAAUCAGGUCGCUACUCGCUACUUUUUUUUUUUUUAUCGAUCUGUUAAUGCACGUUUGGUUUGUUAUGAUUUUGUCAGAUAUGCAUUCAAAGUAGGAACUACGCAUGACUGCUUUUCACCAAUCAAAUGCAGUCACUGGUGACGUUGGACCAAUCAAACAGAGCCAGGUGGUCACGUGACCGUCACACUUAGAACCCGACAUGUUGAAAAACUUAUUGGGGUGUUACCAUUUAGUGGUCAACUGUACGGAAUAUGUACUGUACUGUGCAAUCUACUAAUAAAAGUUUCAAUCAAUCAACCAAUCAAUCAAAAGUGUGAAGGAAAAAAGACACUUUUUUAUUUCAACCGUACUUCCCGUCAAAAGCCUAAAGACCGAUCACACAAUUCCUGUCUUCACAAUAAAAGCGCCGCUCCAUCGCGCCUGCGCUAACAAAAUAAGAGUCUCCGGAAGCCAGAGCAAACAAGCGACCAAGCUACGGAGUUUGCCACCAAUGCAUUUCUUGUAAAGUGUAUAAAAACGAAUAUGGAAGCUGGACAAAUAAGAUGCCAAAAACCAACGACUUUCAUGUGGUAUUAGACAGAAAAGAGGAACUUUUUUUCUCCUCCAUUUGAAAACCGGGACGUUAUCAGCACUAUACUGUCUGAUUCCAAUCAAUGCAAGUCAUCAGAAUCAGAACUGUUUCAUGAGGGGUUCCCUCAAUCAUCAGGAGAAUCCAGCUUGCUAGCCUCAACCUGAACCUUGGUAUUUACCGUGAUGACGGACUGGCAGUGUGCCGCGCCUCGCCAAGGAGCAGCGAGAACACCAAGAAGCGCAUAUGCCAAAUCUUCAAAGAAAACGGCCUACGGAUCACGAUUGAAGCCAACAAGCAAACCGUCAACUUCCUCGACGUCACGUUCAACCUGAGAAAUAACAGCUACCAACCAUUCACGAAACCCAACACAACACUCCAAUACGUGCACCAUGACAGCAACCACCCACCCACCACCACGAAAAGAAUACCUACCGGAAUUAAUAAAAGGCUAUCGAUGCUGUCAUCUAGCAAAGCUGAAUUCGACCAAGCAACCCCCCCGUACCAGAAAGCACUUGAUGAAAGCGGAUACAACUUCACCCUCACCUAUGAACCCACUCCAGGAAACCAACCAAAAAAGAGCAGAAAACGAAACAUCAUCUGGUACAAUCCGCCA